GAACUGCGAUAAGUAAUGUGAAUUGCAGAAUUCAGUGAAUCAUCGAGUCUUUGAACGCACAUUGCGCCCCCUGGCAUUCCGGGGGGCAUGCCUGUCCGAGCGUCAUUGCUGCCCUUCAAGCCCGGCUUGUGUGUUGGGUCGUCGUCCCCUCCGGGGGACGGGCCCGAAAGGCAGCGGCGGCACCGCGUCCGGUCCUCGAGCGUAUGGGGCUUUGUCACCCGCUCGAUAAGGACCGGCCGGGCGCCAGCCGGCGUCUCCAACCUUUUUUUCUCAGGUUGACCUCGGAUCGGGUAGGGAUACCCGCUGAACUUAAGC
This 315-nucleotide unclassified non-coding RNA is filed under the name plant metagenome. RNAcentral describes it as "partial contains 5.8S ribosomal RNA, internal transcribed spacer 2, and large subunit ribosomal RNA". The stretch from base 1 to 105 matches the Rfam family "5.8S ribosomal RNA", at positions 50 to 154 of the family's 154-position model. The record is from RNAcentral.